AAAAAAUGUUUCCUGAAUUUUCUGGAGCAAACGCGUGUUCCUUUCAUUUCUACCAAGUCAAGACUUUUCUGGUUAAGGUACAACAGAAAGACUUUAUCACGGCAGCCUCGCUAUCCCCAGGCCUGGAGGCCGACGCUGAUUACCCUGAAGCCCAUGCCCGAUCGGACCAGCUCAAGCCACCGGAGUCGGGGAACAGGUGGAAAUACUUGCAGAAACACGGGUUGUCCUGCCAGUCGCCAACUAAACAGUGUCCAAAAGUCAGAGCAACAGCUGAGAACGAGCCAACGAUGUCUUCCGUAGAAACACGCAUGUGACACCCCCCCCGCCCCCCCCCCAUGCACACUGCUUUGGUCUCUUUAAACAAAAUUUUUUUUUUCUUUUGCUCUGUCAGGUAGUUACUAAUAGAGAGCACAAAAAAACGUCCUGGGCAGUUGGGGUGCCCGGGCGGCUCAGUCGGUUGAGCGUCUCACUCUUGGUUUUGGCUCAGGUCAUGAUCUCACGGGUCAUGGGUUCAAGCCCUGCAUCAGGCUCCACGCUGACAGCUCAGAGCCUGCUAGGGAUUCUGUCUCUCCCUCUCCCUCCGCCCCUCCCCCCACUCUCUCUCUUCUCUAAUACAACAGAUUUUUGAAAAUAAAAAAAGAAACGGGCACCUGGGUGGCUCAGUCGGUUAAGUGUCCAACCUCGGCUCAGGUCAUGAUUUCGGGGCUCGUGAGUUUGAGCCCCGCAUCGGGCUCUGUGCUCAGAGUUCGGAGCCUGGCACCUGCUUCCGUUCUGGGUCUCCCUCUCUCUCUGCCCCCUCCCUGCUCACUCUGUCUUCCUCAAAAAUAAAAUAAACAUUAAAAAAUAAUAGUAAUAAAAACAGAAAAAAGAAAUGUCCUGGGCCAUAGUGCAGGAAUACGGGGGCAGGGGGCGCAUGUGGGAACCUCCUGUGCAAAAACUCGAGAGUUAAAGACUGGAGAGUUAAAGCUGCGUUCAAAUCCCGGUGCUCAAAUCCCAGGUGGCUUAACUCCCUGAACCUGUUUCCCGUUCUCUAGAGGGUAAAAGUAAUAGCGACCUCAGUGUGAUGGGAGGUGUAAAGAGGUCUGUGGUAGCCACUGUCCCCAAAGAGCUUUUUCUCGUAUAUGACAAACCCACGAAGUAAGACAUGUUAUGUCACGAUCAUCAUGGGUAACUCAGAGGCCAAGGUAGGGGGAGUCUCUCAUUUGGCAGACCCCACCCCCCACCGGGUGUGCAGUGGGGCUGUGAACAGCCAUCGGGGAGCUGAGGGGAGGGGUGACAGGCAUGGUGACCGGCACCAGGCCUCCUGUGAGUGGCAGCCUGCGGCCGGGCUCUUUCUUAUCCCGUUCCUUCUCAAACAGAUAGGAUCCGGGCGUCCGUCUCCUGUGCACGCAGAGAGUAAGACUACUGACUUAGUGCACACCUACUUCCAUACCAAGCCUCCAGAAUUUUCCCUGGAAACCUGAAACAACGUCUAUCCCACUCUGCAAAAACGCUCCACCAAAGCCCCACCCCGGUCCAGCCCCUGGCCUAAAGGUGCCCUCACCCACCUGAGGAAUGAACCUGGACAGCCAGCCCGCCAGCUCUGAGCUGGCGCCAGGACCCACCCCCCUGCCGCUUCACCAGCAGGGCCCAGGACACACAGCUGUUGACACACCUCCCUGCUCCCACUCGGCCACCUUCACACGGAGGGAAACCUGAGCCUCCCACACCUGAAGCAGCUUAUCCAGAGCCUUUAAUUACUGCUGAAGGUCCUGGCGGCCAACACUGGAGGCUCAGGCGUCUACAGAACGGACAUCAAGGGCGUCGGUACCAGAAGCCCGGGUCUGUCCGGAGGGGGGACAGGCUGGGAAGCCCAGGCUGCCGAUUCUGAGCCAGGCUGGCUCUGCAAUUGCUGUGGAUGGGGUGCUAUCUCCAUGCGUAAAUGGGGGGUGCUGUCGGCCCACCGACCAACGGUUCACACCUUAGAAAGGGGACACCCAUUAAUUCAAUACACAGGAGCCCUUCAUCCAGCUGUCAAAGGGCUGAGGCCCGGUGCCAGGGCUGGACAGCAGAGCGAGACGCCAGACAACGGGUUCUAUGCCUGGCUCUGCGCUAUCCUACCUGGGUGGCCUUGGGCAGUCACGUUAGCUGUGUGGGCUGAGUUUUUUCAUCGAUAAAAUUGGGGGCGGGGACUAGCCUCUGUGUCAGGCUCCUUCAGCUUCAAAAGCUUGAUUCUGGGAGUCU
Leopardus geoffroyi (Geoffroy's cat) is the source of this 2223-nucleotide long non-coding RNA. RefSeq lists it as uncharacterized. The transcript has 3 exons. Lineage: Eukaryota; Metazoa; Chordata; Mammalia; Carnivora; Felidae. The record is from RefSeq and is a predicted model, not a curated record.